Chrysemys picta bellii (western painted turtle) is the source of this 1101-nucleotide long non-coding RNA. RefSeq lists it as uncharacterized. The record is from RefSeq and is a predicted model, not a curated record. Lineage: Eukaryota; Metazoa; Chordata; Testudines; Emydidae.
CAAACCAUUGUGAGAAAUAAUGAACGUCGGUGAGAAGGGUGGGACACCGGGACUCUGAAAACCCAAGUUCUGUUCACAGCUCUGCUGUGUGACCUUUGCCAAAUCAAUUCCCCUCUCUCUCUCCUCCUGCUGUGUGUGCCAUUAGACUGCAUUUUGCUAAGUGCUAAGACUCUCUCUGUGUCCAACACCUCGCCCGGUGGGGCCCUGAUCUCGGCUGAAAGGAGGCAGCGAACAGAGAGAGACUGGCAUUUCACUACUGCUUAGACUGCAAGGCUCGAACCCCGAUCAUCCAAGGGAUGAACCCCGACUGUUCCACGGAAAGAACCCCGACGCCGCAACGAGGAUGGUUCUGGACUCCUGGACAGAACCAAUGAAAACUGGAAACGCUGGACCACCGGAACGCUGGAACAGGAUGCGACAAUCACCAGAAAGCAUCCCACCCCACCUGAAAGACGAGACCCCCUUGAUACCAGACGGGCUACCACUGGAGUUUACAACUGGCAACUCCCUACAUCCGGAUUGAGAAACCAUCAACAACAGGACUAAAGACUCUUAUUGUUGUUCUGCUCUCGCCCCCAGAAAGAGGAGUCGUGUACUAUAGGAUUGGCUUCAAGCGUUGUCUUUGGAGUGAGACGUAAAGUGCAAUUGACCUGGGGUAAGUGACCUGCCUUUUGGGAUCAGGACUCAUCUGAAUAUUGCUGUGAUUCUUGGUGUAAGAGCCCAGCUAUCACAGAGCUACGUUCACCUGGGUAGUAAGACAGACCCGUAUACCCAAGGGGAGUAUCUGAGCCUCUGUAUUAAGGCUGUUAAAGGGCCUGAGGAGUUUGCCCUUGGUACAGUGGGUUGGUGAAGUUGAAGUUUAGAGCUCACAACCACUGUGGGGCUUGUGCCCUGGUUUCUAACAGCCUGCCCUGAGGUUGGUACUCAUGCUUUUGUGUCACCAUUGGGAGCGUCACAUGAUGGGUACAUGUGGGCACCUCCCUGAGAACAAGCAAUUCCCUCAGACACUCCAGUUCCCUUGUGUCACGUUAUUGAUUUGAAUUGGGACCAUAUAGAACAUGGUUGCCAUCAAAGUCCUGUAGUGGCACCACAUCUUGUAUA